GAAAAAGAGGAGUGGCGAACGGGUGAGUAACACGUGGGUAACCUGCCCAUCAGAAGGGGAUAACACUUGGAAACAGGUGCUAAUACCGUAUAACAAUCGAAACCGCAUGGUUUUGAUUUGAAAGGCGCUUUCGGGUGUCGCUGAUGGAUGGACCCGCGGUGCAUUAGCUAGUUGGUGAGGUAACGGCUCACCAAGGCCACGAUGCAUAGCCGACCUGAGAGGGUGAUCGGCCACAUUGGGACUGAGACACGGCCCAAACUCCUACGGGAGGCAGCAGUAGGGAAUCUUCGGCAAUGGACGAAAGUCUGACCGAGCAACGCCGCGUGAGUGAAGAAGGUUUUCGGAUCGUAAAACUCUGUUGUUAGAGAAGAACAAGGAUGAGAGUAACUGUUCAUCCCUUGACGGUAUCUAACCAGAAAGCCACGGCUAACUACGUGCCAGCAGCCGCGGUAAUACGUAGGUGGCAAGCGUUGUCCGGAUUUAUUGGGCGUAAAGCGAGCGCAGGCGGUUUCUUAAGUCUGAUGUGAAAGCCCCCGGCUCAACCGGGGAGGGUCAUUGGAAACUGGGAGACUUGAGUGCAGAAGAGGAGAGUGGAAUUCCAUGUGUAGCGGUGAAAUGCGUAGAUAUAUGGAGGAACACCAGUGGCGAAGGCGGCUCUCUGGUCUGUAACUGACGCUGAGGCUCGAAAGCGUGGGGAGCAAACAGGAUUAGAUACCCUGGUAGUCCACGCCGUAAACGAUGAGUGCUAAGUGUUGGAGGGUUUCCGCCCUUCAGUGCUGCAGCUAACGCAUUAAGCACUCCGCCUGGGGAGUACGACCGCAAGGUUGAAACUCAAAGGAAUUGACGGGGGCCCGCACAAGCGGUGGAGCAUGUGGUUUAAUUCGAAGCAACGCGAAGAACCUUACCAGGUCUUGACAUCCUUUGACCACUCUAGAGAUAGAGCUUCCCCUUCGGGGGCAAAGUGACAGGUGGUGCAUGGUUGUCGUCAGCUCGUGUCGUGAGAUGUUGGGUUAAGUCCCGCAACGAGCGCAACCCUUAUUGUUAGUUGCCAUCAUUCAGUUGGGCACUCUAGCAAGACUGCCGGUGACAAACCGGAGGAAGGUGGGGAUGACGUCAAAUCAUCAUGCCCCUUAUGACCUGGGCUACACACGUGCUACAAUGGGAAGUACAACGAGU
Molecule: ribosomal RNA, 1176 nt
Filed under: Enterococcus faecium
Lineage: Bacteria; Bacillati; Bacillota; Bacilli; Lactobacillales; Enterococcaceae
Description: bacterial SSU rRNA
Rfam family: Bacterial small subunit ribosomal RNA
Source: RNAcentral